UACGAAGGGGGCUAGCGUUGCUCGGAAUUACUGGGCGUAAAGGGCGCGUAGGCGGAUAGUUCAGUCGGGGGUGAAAGCCCGGGGCUCAACCUUGGAACUGCCUUUGAUACUGGAAAUCUUGAGUCCGGGAGAGGUGAGUGGAACUGCGAGUGUAGAGGUGAAAUUCGUAGAUAUUCGCAAGAACACCAGUGGCGAAGGCGGCUCACUGGCCCGGUACUGACGCUGAGGUGCGAAAGCGUGGGGAGCAAACAGG
RNAcentral lists this ribosomal RNA (253 nucleotides) under uncultured bacterium. RNAcentral's name for it is "partial 16S ribosomal RNA". It matches the Rfam family "Bacterial small subunit ribosomal RNA", at positions 524 to 776 of the family's 1533-position model. The record is from RNAcentral.